This 119-nucleotide ribosomal RNA is filed under the name Lupinus angustifolius (narrow-leaved blue lupine). Lineage: Eukaryota; Viridiplantae; Streptophyta; Magnoliopsida; Fabales; Fabaceae. The record is from RNAcentral.
AGGUGCGACCAGACCAACACUAAUACACCGGAUCCCAUCAGAAGUCAGCAGUUAAGCAUGUUUGGGCGAGAGUAGUACUGGGAUGGGUAACCUCCUGGGAAGUCCUCGUGUUGCACCUC